Molecule: small nuclear RNA, 107 nt
Organism: Dromiciops gliroides (monito del monte)
Lineage: Eukaryota; Metazoa; Chordata; Mammalia; Microbiotheria; Microbiotheriidae
Source: RefSeq, a predicted model, not a curated record
GUGCUUGCUUCAGCAGCACAUAUAUUAAAAUUGGAAUGAUACAGAGAAGAUAAACAUGGCCCCUGUGCAAGGAUGACACUCAAAUCUGUGAAUAAAUCAUUAGUAAU